Molecule: ribosomal RNA, 383 nt
Filed under: uncultured eukaryote
Lineage: Eukaryota
Description: partial 18S ribosomal RNA
Rfam family: Eukaryotic small subunit ribosomal RNA
Source: RNAcentral
CAAUAGCGUAUAUUAAAGUUGUUGCAGUUAAAAAGCUCGUAGUUGGAUUUCUGGUGGGAGCGAUCGGUCUGGCGCUUAGCGCGAGUACUUGCAUCGUCUCCGGCCAUCCUUGGGGAGAGUCUGUCUGGCAUUAGGUUGUCGGGCAGAGGAUCCUCAUCGUUUACUGUGAAAAAAUUAGAGUGUUCAAAGCAGGCUUAUGCCGUUGAAUAUAUUAGCAUGGAAUAAUAAGAUAGGACUUUGGUACUAUUUUGUUGGUUUGCGCACCAAAGUAAUGAUUAAUAGGGACAGUCGGGGGUAUUCGUAUUCCGUUGUCAGAGGUGAAAUUCUUGGAUUUACGGAAGACGAACUACUGCGAAAGCAUUUACCAAGGAUGUUUUCAUUAA